GAUGAAGAACGCAGCGAAAUGCGAUAAGUAGUGUGAAUUGCAGAAUUCAGUGAAUCAUCGAAUCUUUGAACGCACAUUGCGCCCCUUGGUAUUCCAUGGGGCAUGCCUGUUCGAGCGUCAUUUGUACCUUCAAGCUCUGCUUGGUGUUGGGUGUUUGUCUCGCCUCUGCGUGUAGACUCGCCUCAAAACAAUUGGCAGCCGGCGUAUUGAUUUCGGAGCGCAGUACAUCUCGCGCUUUGCACUCAUAACGACGACGUCCAAAAGUACAUUUUUACACUCUUGACCUCGGAUCAGGUAGGGAUACCCGCUGAACUUAAGCAUAUCAUAAGCGGAGGA
Molecule: unclassified non-coding RNA, 336 nt
Filed under: soil metagenome
Description: partial contains 5.8S ribosomal RNA, internal transcribed spacer 2, and large subunit ribosomal RNA
Rfam family: 5.8S ribosomal RNA (bases 1-120)
Source: RNAcentral